Molecule: ribosomal RNA, 260 nt
Filed under: uncultured bacterium
Lineage: Bacteria
Description: partial 16S ribosomal RNA
Rfam family: Bacterial small subunit ribosomal RNA
Source: RNAcentral
UGGCGGACGGGUGAGUAACGCGUGGGUAACCUGCCUCAUACAGGGGGAUAACAGUUAGAAAUGACUGCUAAUACCGCAUAAGCGCACAGGGACACAUGUUCCGGUGUGAAAAACUCCGGUGGUAUGAGAUGGACCCGCGUCUGAUUAGCUGGUUGGCGGGGUAACGGCCCACCAAGGCGACGAUCAGUAGCCGACCUGGAGAGGGUGACCGGCCACCAUUGGGACUGAGACACGGCCCAAACUCCUACGGAAGGCAGCAG